AGUGAACGCUGGCGGUAGGCCUAACACAUGCAAGUCGAACGGCAGCACAGUAAGAGCUUGCUCUUACGGGUGGCGAGUGGCGGACGGGUGCGGAAUACAUCGGAAUCUACUUUUUCGUGGGGGAUAACGUAGGGAAACUUACGCUAAUACCGCAUACGACCUACGGGUGAAAGCAGGGGAUCUUCGGACCUUGCGCGAUUGAAUGAGCCGAUGUUGGAUUAGCUAGUUGGCGGGGUAAAGGGCCACCAAGGCGACGAUCCGUAGCUGGGCUGAGAGGACGAGCAGCAAACCUGGGACUGAGACACGGCUCAGGCUCCUACGGGAGGCAGCAGUGGGGAAUAUUGGCCAAUGGGCGAAAGCCUGAACCAGCACUGCCGCGUGAGUGAUGAAGGCCUUAGGGGUAUAAAGCUCUGUUAACCGGGAUGAUAAUGACAGUACCGGGAGAAUAAGCGCCGGCUAACUCCGUG
This 467-nucleotide ribosomal RNA is filed under the name uncultured bacterium. Its description in RNAcentral is "partial 16S ribosomal RNA". It matches the Rfam family "Bacterial small subunit ribosomal RNA", at positions 29 to 507 of the family's 1533-position model. The record is from RNAcentral.